AUUGAACGCUGGCGGCAUGCCUUACACAUGCAAGUCGAACGGCAGCACGGGAGCAAUCCUGGUGGCGAGUGGCGAACGGGUGAGUAAUAUAUCGGAACGUGCCCAGUCGUGGGGGAUAACGCAGCGAAAGCUGUUCGAAAACCGCAUACGAUCCAUGGAUGAAAGUGGGGGACCGCAAGACCUCGCGCGAUUGGAGCGGCCGAUAUCAGAUUAGCUAGUUGGUGGGGUAAAGGCCCACCAAGGCGACGAUCUGUAGCUGUUCUGAGAGGACGACCAGCCACACUGGAACUGAGACACGGUCCAGACUCCUACGGGAGGCAGCGGUGGGGAAUUUUGGACAAUGGGCGCAAGCCUGAUCCAGCAAUGCCGCGUGCAGGAUGAAGGCCUUCGGGUUGUAAACUGCUUUUGUACGGAACGAAACGGCGAGCUCUAAUAAAGUUUGCUAAUGACGGUACCGUAAGAAUAAGCACCGGCUAACUACGUGCCAGCCGCCGCGGUAA
This 500-nucleotide ribosomal RNA is filed under the name uncultured bacterium. Its description in RNAcentral is "partial 16S ribosomal RNA". It matches the Rfam family "Bacterial small subunit ribosomal RNA", at positions 30 to 523 of the family's 1533-position model. The record is from RNAcentral.